UAUCGGUGAAUACAUGUGAGUGGAGAAAAAAAAGCAAAAUGGGGGAUUGGGCUAAAAAGAAACUUAUGGAAUUUUUGUGACCUGUCAAAAAUGACAAUCAAUUUUGAAAAACAAAACAAUGGCUUUCGGAUUUUAAGAACCAAAAUUCUUUAUAAUGAAGAGGGUACCUAUAUACAAGUUCACUUCAUUGAAUAAAAAAUAUUGCCAAAAUGCAGGAAGCAAUUUCCUUUAAGUAAUUUGAAAGCAAACCAAACAAGGCGCUGAUUUGCUGAUGCUGCCCAUUGUUUUUGUAUGUACUUCUCAAUGGCAAGAGCUGCCGCAGGCGUUGACGGCGGAGGUGUCACCAUCAAAACCAUUAAAAACAACACCACCAAGUCAAUGAUGCAAGUGGAAGUUUUGCCAUGUAAUAGUCGACCGCUGACGCCCUUCUAAAUCAAUUGUGUAAGUACGUAUCGAAACAUUCAUAUCGUAGUCAACUAGCUUAAUCUUCAUCUUCUAGGUGUAAAGAGUUUACUACCAGUCUGCAGUUCUGCAAGAGACGCAAGAAAAACAAGAAUACAAUCGCAGGAACUCAAAAAUUGUCCAACCUUGACUGUAAGAGAGUUCAAAUUUUAAAUCUACAACGAAUCCAUUUAUUUUGCUAAUAAGAAUCGCACUGGCUUAACGGUGGCAAUCAUUCGGAGGCAAAUGAGCUGGCCCGACAAGAAUCCCUAAGAAGCCAAACAGAUUCAGAUCAGUCUUUCGGCAGCUACUGACGAUGUCGGCGAGUGGAAUCCAUUGAUUUUCACACAGAAAAUCAACAUAAAAAAAAUCACGACAAUUUAGCAGCGUCAUGGUCAACCUGCAGAUCAACUAUUCACAGUGAAUAACCUCCAUUCGCAGCGGAAGCGAUCUCUGCGUUGUCGACAAUGCGAAAACAAUGUCAUCAAGCCGGAGUACCAUCCAGGAUCGAUCAAGUAUCGCAUUCAAUUGCUUGCUAACUACCAUGCACCCAACGUUCUGCUUGUGCGUUGGGAAAAGCCACUGAAGCCUGGCACGUCCACUGAAUUGAUCCUCAAGCUAACUAACCCAACGAUGUACCAUAUGGCCACAACCAUUAUGAAACUGCCAACCAAGGAAGAGGAACGUCAAAUGAUCGACUUCGAAUAAAAGUUCAACGAAAGGAACCAAAUUUCACCAAUUGAAGGAAGUCCAAUAAAGUAACAAUCAAAUUGAACUUCACACCUGAAGGAGGACUGAAACCAGGCGAUGAUGUUAUCCUUAGUUUCUUGAUGAAAUAUACUUUUGUGAAUACAUACACACGCCCGAAAAGAAAGAACGUCAAAAACACGCAUUAUCAUCGAAAGUUUUUGUAAAAGUUGGUCAAAUUGAAGACUAGAUUUAUUUCUAUGUAUAUCUAGAAAAUAAUCUUUUUUGCAAAAAACUUGUUUAUUUAUUUUGAGCUAUACUGUAAUUUUGUAUAUAUUGUAU
Molecule: long non-coding RNA, 1470 nt
Organism: Eupeodes corollae
Lineage: Eukaryota; Metazoa; Arthropoda; Insecta; Diptera; Syrphidae
Exons: 6
Source: RefSeq, a predicted model, not a curated record